CUAGCGACAGGCUUAACACAUGCAAGUCGAGGGGCAGCAUGAUUUGUAGCAAUACAGAUUGAUGGCGACCGGCGCACGGGUGAGUAACGCGUAUGCAACUUACCUAUCAGAGGGGGAUAGCCCGGCGAAAGUCGGAUUAAUACCCCAUAAAACAGGGGUCCCGCAUGGGAAUAUUUGUUAAAGAUUCAUCGCUGAUAGAUAGGCAUGCGUUCCAUUAGGCAGUUGGCGGGGUAACGGCCCACCAAACCGACGAUGGAUAGGGGUUCUGAGAGGAAGGUCCCCCACAUUGGUACUGAGACACGGACCAAACUCCUACGGGAGGCAGCAGUGAGGAAUAUUGGUCAAUGGCCGAGAGGCUGAACCAGCCAAGUCGCGUGAAGGAAGAAGGAUCUAUGGUUUGUAAACUUCUUUUAUAGGGGAAUAAAGUGGAGGACGUGUCCUUUUUUGUAUGUACCCUAUGAAUAAGCAUCGGCUAACUCCGUGCCAGCAGCCGCGGUAAUACGGAGGAUGCGAGCGUUAUCCGGAUUUAUUGGGUUUAAAGGGUGCGUAGGUGGUGAUUUAAGUCAGCGGUGAAAGUUUGUGGCUCAACCAUAAAAUUGCCGUUGAAACUGGGUUACUUGAGUGUGUUUGAGGUAGGCGGAAUGCGUGGUGUAGCGGUGAAAUGCAUAGAUAUCACGCAGAACUC
Molecule: ribosomal RNA, 685 nt
Filed under: uncultured Bacteroidales bacterium
Lineage: Bacteria; Pseudomonadati; Bacteroidota; Bacteroidia; Bacteroidales
Description: bacterial SSU rRNA
Rfam family: Bacterial small subunit ribosomal RNA
Source: RNAcentral